CUCCUUAGCAACAGGUGCCUCCGUUGCGAUGCAUGGUAUGUUUAUGGAAUUGCAUCGUCUGGAUGAACAGGUGAAAUGGCGAAAGGGGAUAAAAAGAAAAAACCCGAGAAAACGACUCCCGAACAAUCAUUAAGUACAUUUUUGUCAAAUGGCUCCCACGCUGGUGUUGUAUCAGAACCACAUGUGUUAGAUGAAGAGUCGGGACAUGAAACAGAUGUAAUGACUGCCUCCUUUUCUUCACUACCACCACCCGCCGACAAACAACUUGAGAGAAGUGAUGAUGCAUUUCAUGAGGUCCCUGUUCUUCCUAAUAUUAUUGUCCAGAGGUACGAGGGUGAAAAGCAUCUAGAGCAGUUUCAUGGAGAAGGUGUGGCAUAUUUUCAGGGAGGACAUGUCUACAAGGGUAUGUUUUCAGUAGGAGUCAUGCAUGGACAUGGUCUGUACACAUGGGCAGAUGGCGUGAAAUAUGAGGGUGAGUUUGCAUUCAAUGUGCCCAUGGGCCAUGGGACAUACACCUGGUUGGAUGGUAGCUGUUAUGAGGGAGAGGUGUGCAGUGGAAUCCGCCAUGGUGUGGGGACAUAUAGGUGUGCCAAUUCCUCUGUGAUAUACAGAGGGCAGUGGCAUCACAGCAAAAGGCAUGGAAAGGGUACAAUAUACUAUAACCAGGAAGCGACGUCCUGGUAUGAAGGAGAAUUGGUAAACAAUAACAGAGAGGGAUGGGGAGUCCGAUGUUACCCCUCUGGAAACCUGUAUGAGGGCCAGUGGAGGAACAACGUGAGACAUGGAGAGGGCAGGAUGAGGUGGCUGCAGCUGGGUCAGCAGUAUAGCGGGAUAUGGGAGAAUGGGGUCCAGCAUGGACAAGGGACCCACACAUGGUUCCUGAGGAGAGUGACAGGCUCUCAGUAUCCCCUAAGGAAUGAGUACACUGGGGACUUUGUCCAGGGGCUGAGGCAUGGCCAGGGCAGCUUCUACUACGCAAGCGGGGCUCUUUACAAAGGAGAGUGGAAGGACAACAGAAAACAUGGACAGGGAAAGUUCAUUUUUAAAAAUGGACGCAUAUUUGAAGGGGAGUUUGUGGAUGACCACAUGGCAGAGUUCCCAGCGUUCUGCCUGGAUGGUUCAAACACCCCUGAUCUGAGUGGGAUUAGAACGCACACUCCCCAUCCUGAGGACGGUGAAUCCCCCAGAAGAGCACCAGGAGGAGACUCGGGCAGUGGUCCAGCCCUGCUUGGGCCUGACAUGGCUCUGGACAUCACUGCUCUGCUGGAGAACCUCCCAGAGAACCAGAGAGACCUGCAGCUCAAACAGGUGGAAUUUGUGGUGCUGAGACACAUAGCGGAGCUGAGGGCCAUCUAUAGCUUCUACAGCAGUCUGGGCCAUGAUCAGUCCCCAGACAAUACCUUCUUGCUGUCCCGCCUGCAGCUUUGGAGACUCCUCAAGGACUGCAGCAUCCACCAGCAAGGCAUCACCCUGGCCCAGGUCGACCGCUACAUCUGUGCUAAUUUCAAAGCAGAGGAUGUCCCUUCCGAGGAGAUCCACUCUCCCUUCAGCACCAUGCUGCUCAGAAGGUUCCUCAGCUGUGUUGUGGUUCUGGCCUACAACACCUACCAUAAGGACAUAGAGCCCUCUGAUACCAUACUGGUUGCAUGUUUGUCCAAGCUGAUGAGGGAGAACAUCAUCCCUAAUGCCAAGAAUGUAAAAGGUACAGGGCUGUUGUUUCCCAACCCCAUGCAUGCUGUGAUUGCUGUCAACUACAUUGGGAGGUGCUGGGGGAUCUACAAGGCCUUCUGCAGAGCCAACCCAACCCCCCUAGCUGACCAAACCAUGACUGUCAGGCACUUCAUAUGGAUGUUUAAGGACCUUAGUCUGUUUGAUGCUGAGCUGACCACAGGGAAACUCCUAGAGAUCCUCUCUGUAGAGAACCCAGCUGCUUACGACCGCUACUACUGCAACCUAGACCUAGAGAUGACGUUCCUGGAGUUCUUUGAGGCGUUGCUGGGCUGUGCAGAGGUUAGCGAUCAGAGGGAUGGUCAGACAUCCUCAGACAGCCAGAUGGAAAGCUGCCCUCUGGCUGACACCAGGAGGGUUUCCCCUGGGGAGAGGACCAGAGACAGCCCUCUACAGAGGUCCUCACAGCGGCAUUCCCCUCUGACUGGACCUACUGCAAAGUCAUCAAACCCCAACAUCUCUCCUGAUGUGGGUAGUGUCAAAUCACUGGAGGAGAUUCUCCAGCUGUCUACACCUGAAGAGAUGGAGCCCAGACAGAGUCCCAACGCAGCAGGCAACCUCACAUCACAGACUGGGGGUGGUGGGUCAGCAACCCACUCGUCAGACACUGAGAGGAGAGAGGGCUCAGGUGGCGCUAGAUCAGCAGUGGAGGCCAAAGUGUCAAACCACCCUCCCCAUGAUCAUCCCCCCAGCACAGUUAGGGGCGUGGAUCAGAAAACCAGUCAGUAUCUAGUGUGACCAUUUGCCUCAUGCAGCAUGACGCAUCUCCUUCACAUAGAGUUGAUCAGGCUGUUGAUUGUGGCCUGUGGAAUUUUGUCCUCUUCAAUGGUUGUGGGAAGUUGCUGGAUAUUGGCAGGAACUGGAACACGCUGUAGUACACGUUGAUCCAGAGAAUCCCAAACGGGCUCAAUGGGUGACAUGUCUGCUUAUGCCUGCCCAUACCAUAACCCCACCGCCACCAUGGGGCACUCUGUUCACAACAUUGACAUCAGCAAACUGCUCGCCACACGACGCCGUCUGCGAUCUACCCGGUACAGUUCAAACCGGAAGUCAUGAAGAAUGCAACUUCUCUAGCGUGGCAAUGGCCAUCGAAGAGCCCGUUGAAGACAGGAGUGGAGCAGGUAUGACUUCCUGCCCUGCUGAGACUGAACUGGACAGCUGGGUCCAGAGGACCCACCAGUUCUUUACCCAGAGGUUCUUCCCAGCGUACGAAUACAGCCUGGAGCUGAGGAGGGAGGU
RNA transcript from Oncorhynchus keta (chum salmon), 2967 nucleotides. It is a transcript of the gene named radial spoke head 10 homolog B, with no coding region annotated. Lineage: Eukaryota; Metazoa; Chordata; Actinopteri; Salmoniformes; Salmonidae. The transcript has 20 exons. The record is from RefSeq and is a predicted model, not a curated record.